Molecule: ribosomal RNA, 444 nt
Filed under: uncultured bacterium
Lineage: Bacteria
Description: bacterial SSU rRNA
Rfam family: Bacterial small subunit ribosomal RNA
Source: RNAcentral
GCAUAACGCGAAGAACCUUACCGGGGCUUGACAUCUUUCUGACCGCCUGGGAAACCAGGUCUUCUUCCUUCGGGAAGACGGAAAGACAGGUGGUGCAUGGUUGUCGUCAGCUCGUGUCGUGAGAUGUUGGGUUAAGUCCCACAACGAGCGCAACCCUUGUCCUUAUUUGCCAGCCUGUUUACAGGCGUACUUUAAGGAGACUGCCGUAGAUAAUACGGAGGAAGGUGGGGAUGACGUCAAAUCCUCAUGCCCCUUACGUCCCGGGCUACACACGUGCUACAAUGGUCUGUACAGAGGGUAGCCAAGAAGCAAUUCGGAGCCAAUCCCAAAAAGCAGGCCCCAGUUCGGAUUGGAGGCUGCAACUCGCCUCCAUGAAGUCGGAAUCGCUAGUAAUCGCGGAUCAGCACGCCGCGGUGAAUCCGUUCCCGGGUCUUGUACACACCG